RNAcentral lists this ribosomal RNA (237 nucleotides) under uncultured bacterium. Its description in RNAcentral is "partial 16S ribosomal RNA". It matches the Rfam family "Bacterial small subunit ribosomal RNA", at positions 85 to 334 of the family's 1533-position model. The record is from RNAcentral.
UUGGAAUGUAAUGGCGGACGGCUGAGUAACACUGGGGACCUGCCUUUUAGUAGAAAAUAGCUCGCCGAAAGGCGGGGUAAUAUUCUAUGUUGUCGCAAGACCAAAGAGUUUAACCACUCGCUAAAAGAUGGACCUGCGUCCUAUCAGGUUGUUGGUGAGGUAAUGGCUCACCAAGCCUACGACGGGUAGCUGGACCGAGAGGUCGGUCAGCCAGAAGAGCACUGAGACACGGGCUCU